UUUUAUUAUCUUUAUUAUUAUCUUUAUUUAUAGAAUUACGGUAAAUUAAAUGGUAAUAAAUGGUUGGCUAGAAACAAUCAAAUUGGAUCAAUUUUCUCGUCGUUGAAAGUGAGAUUAAAUUUCAUCAUUUAUUAAAUGUUUCGUUGAUUUUGAUAUUAACAAUUCUACGUAUUUUAAAAAUGCAAUCAUUCUCGUUAUUUACAUCUUCCUAUUAAAACAUUUUAAUUACAUAAAAUUAAAAACAAUAAUAAAAUAUCCCUAUCACAAAGUUUCGAAAAAAAAAGUACCUUCUCUUGUUAUUAAAUUAAAACUAGCACAAUAAAAUAAUUAAUUCACCGAUUUCGAUCCUUUUCGAAUCUAGGAAACAAGGGCAAAAACGAAAAUUGGCAAAAAUUCACCGUAACGUUAAUUAAACAACCUCUGUUUUAGGUACAUGAAAUAAGAGAUACCCACUAGCUGUCCAAAUUCCUUAUUUCUUUUACCAUGAAAAGCUCGCCAAGGUCUCUGACGUUAAUUAAUCCCGCGCCAAGCCAAGCCAAGCCAAGCCAAGCCAAGGCUACCUGGCCACCAGCUUCGAGGGCCGUUUCACAUCGUGCACACUACUUUUCAGACGACGACGAAUCGUCUUUGGGUGGGUAGCAUUAAAAUGUAAAACUGUGCGGAAUUACAAGAGAUUUCCGCGGGAAAACAGGCUGCGCGGGAGAACUCGAGGACCGAUGUGAACAGGCCUGCGAUUCGUUUUAAUAACGGCGUAGCGAACGCCCCGUCCAAGCGUGGACUUUUUAAUUAAGAAUGGCGGCCGAAAGUGUCGAAGACUUUCCGCCUGGUGGCACUGUAAAAUACGUAGGGAACAUUUUUCUUCGCGAGAAGAUUAAAAAAGACAUUGAGCGAAAUUAAUGUUUCUGUGUUUGUAAAUACAAGUGUCUUGGACAGAGUAUCCGUAACAUUUAAAUAGAGAGUGUUACGAUGGAGUGAAUUAUUUGAUAAAGUAAGAGUGGAGUAUUUAAAUAUUGGGAGAUACAUACAAUGAAACGGAAACGAAUGUGUAACAAAUGUUCAAUCAAUGAAAUAAACGCAAAAGUUAAUAUACACGAAAACGUUGAGGUAAUUUAAUUAAUUUUAUAAAUAAUUUUAACUCGUGUUAAAUGAAACGAGACGGGAAGAAAGUGGAGUAACGAAGACAGAAUGCAAAUUUCAAUUUUUUCUUUUUUUGGCAUCCGGAAUUCUCCAAAUAUAUUUAUAUCCAUAUUUAUUGUAUGUAUUUAUAAAUACACGUCUGUUUUAUGUGUU
Molecule: long non-coding RNA, 1290 nt
Organism: Apis cerana (Asiatic honeybee)
Lineage: Eukaryota; Metazoa; Arthropoda; Insecta; Hymenoptera; Apidae
Source: RefSeq, a predicted model, not a curated record